Molecule: long non-coding RNA, 1148 nt
Filed under: Anas platyrhynchos platyrhynchos (common mallard)
Lineage: Eukaryota; Metazoa; Chordata; Aves; Anseriformes; Anatidae
Description: lncRNA (ENSAPLG00000023657.1)
Source: RNAcentral
UAACAUGGCAACACCAUCUUUCCACCAGUUCCUACAGCUCAGCUCUUGGCUUUGUCUGAGCUCCCUUGAAAUGGAGGUGAGAUAAAAGAGAGCUAACAGUGAAGAGGAGACAACUGAAGAAGCUGCCUACGAACACGCCAGCCGCUUUGUGCCCGCUCCCUGAAUAAGAAAAGAAGACAGAUUAAAAAGGGUACCAUUGUCUGUUGAGAAUACCUUAUCACAUGAAGGGGCAUCCUGAGCGACUUCCAGCCUUCCCAGUGUGAAGCCACCCGCAGGACCCAGCGCUCCCUCCCUGCAGUGCCCAAGUUCAGUGGUGCCGCUGGAGCUGAGCGUGUCCCUGCGCCAGGCUCUGGCACCCACUCCAGCAUCACUCCAGUGCCCGUGAGAGCCUCCAAACCCCAGCCUCCCUGCACCUGCGGGCUGCAGAAAUAACUCCAAAACCUCUCUGCAUGAGGUUACAGCCUGAGCCAUGCUCCGUGUACCCGCCAGCUUUGUGGUGAGGGCACCGUGCCCCCUGACUGGCGCUGCCUGCUCACAGAUGUGCAUUAAUAGAAUAUGGAAAAAAAAUAAUAUGUAAAUGAUGAACAGUUCUGAAUCUUCAAGCACGUGCUCUGGGUGCAGCUCGCCCAUGCUCACCUAUCCGGCACAGCCCGCAUACCCUGGGGGAAAGCCCAGCUCUGCUCCGGGAAGGGCACACACCCAGAACAGCUGCAGCACCAUGAGAACAUGCGCUGAAAACCUGAAAGCUGCCAGCAAGCAGCACCAGCGGUCAGGAAAGAGGCAAUCAGUCUGCAGAUAAAGCAGUUAGCUUCAGGACAACUUCACCAGCAGAGGCUGGAUCUGAGCUUUGGUCCGGACUCGCUACCCCUUCAGGAAGGUGCACACCAGAUGAAUGAAACCACAUGAUAACUACACCAGAACUACAUUUUUCUGCACAUGGUGUUGUAUCGAUUCGACACCGCUCUGAAUUCAGGUGGUAGGUUUACACACGUAGUCAUCAUUCCGGACAACAUGGAAGGAAAUCCAUCCCCCACCUCCUCCCCCUGGGUUAUGGAAUUUGCCUUGACAAAUCUUGCAAAUCAGAGCCAUCUGCCUGCAAAAAUAACAUUUAAAAUAAAAUAAAAUAAAAUAAAAUAAAAUAAAAUAAA